UUUUUGACCUCAAAUCAGGUAGGACUACCCGCUGAACUUAAGCAUAUCAAUAAGCGGAGGAAAAGAAACUAACAAGGAUUCCCCUAGUAACUGCGAGUGAAGCGGGAAAAGCUCAAAUUUAAAAUCUGGUAGUCUUUGGCUGCCCGAGUUGUAAUCUAGAGAAGCGUUAUCCGCGCUGGACCGUGUACAAGUCUCCUGGAAUGGAGCGUCAUAGAGGGUGAGAAUCCCGUCUUUGACACGGACUACCAGGGCUUUGUGAUGCGCUCUCAAAGAGUCGAGUUGUUUGGGAAUGCAGCUCUAAAUGGGUGGUAAAUUCCAUCUAAAGCUAAAUAUUGGCGAGAGACCGAUAGCGAACAAGUACCGUGAGGGAAAGAUGAAAAGAACUUUGGAAAGAGAGUUAAACAGUACGUGAAAUUGUUGAAAGGGAAACGCUUGAAGUCAGUCGCGUUGGCCAGGGAUCAACCUUGCUCUUUUGCUUGGUGUACUUCCUGGUUAACGGGUCAGCAUCAAUUUUGACCAGUGGAAAAAGGUCGAGGGAAUGUGGCAUCUUCGGAUGUGUUAUAGCCCUUGAUUGUAUACAUUGGUUGGGAUUGAGGAACUCAGCACGCCGCAAGGCCGGGUUUUUAACCACGUUCGUGCUUAGGAUGCUGGCAUAAUGGCUUUAAUCGACCCGUCUUGAAACACGGACCAAGGAAUCUAACAUGCCUGCGAGUGUUUGGGUGGAAAACCCAAGCGCGUAAUGAAAGUGAAAGUUGGGAUCUCUGUCGUGGAGAGCACCGACGCCCGGACCAGACCUUCUGUGACGGAUCCGCGGUAGAGCAUGUAUGUUGGGACCCGAAAGAUGGUGAACUAUGCCUGAAUAGGGUGAAGCCAGAGGAAACUCUGGUGGAGGCUCGUAGCGAUUCUGACGUGCAAAUCGAUCGU
RNAcentral lists this ribosomal RNA (924 nucleotides) under uncultured Basidiomycota. Its description in RNAcentral is "eukaryotic LSU rRNA". It matches the Rfam family "Eukaryotic large subunit ribosomal RNA", at positions 1 to 905 of the family's 3401-position model. The record is from RNAcentral. Lineage: Eukaryota; Fungi; Basidiomycota.